Molecule: long non-coding RNA, 355 nt
Filed under: Ictidomys tridecemlineatus (thirteen-lined ground squirrel)
Lineage: Eukaryota; Metazoa; Chordata; Mammalia; Rodentia; Sciuridae
Description: lncRNA (ENSSTOG00000030800.1)
Source: RNAcentral
GCCGACGCGGCGUGACCUGCCACGACCCGGCGGCCCCCCGGAGAAGGGCGACUGUUACCGAGUUUCCUGAUGAGCCCGCUCAAGACCAUCGCCUUUCCUCAGUCUGCAGCCACCGGAGAAUUAAACCGCCGCGCCACAGAGUCCGGCUGCGAUCAAUGUCCCCCAGAAACUCGGCCCGCGAGACAAUCCAGUUUAGGAGGGUAUGCUGGUCAGAUUUUUGUCACUGAAACAAAUACCUGAGGAAAAAACAACUUAAAGAAGGAAUGAUUUAUUUGGCUCAUGGUUCCAGAGGUUCCAUCUGUAGGCUGCUGACUCCAUAGCUCUGAGCCUGAGGUGAGACAGAACAUCAUAGUGG